RNAcentral lists this ribosomal RNA (492 nucleotides) under uncultured bacterium. RNAcentral describes it as "partial 16S ribosomal RNA". It matches the Rfam family "Bacterial small subunit ribosomal RNA", at positions 29 to 507 of the family's 1533-position model. The record is from RNAcentral.
AGUGAACGCUGGCGGUAGGCCUAACACAUGCAAGUCGAACGGCAGCACAGUAAGAGCUUGCUCUUACGGGUGGCGAGUGGCGGACGGGUGAGGAAUACAUCGGAAUCUACUUUUUCGUGGGGGAUAACGUAGGGAAACUUACGCUAAUACCGCAUACGACCUACGGGUGAAAGCAGGGGAUCUUCGGACCUUGCGCGAUUGAAUGAGCCGAUGUCGGAUUAGCUAGUUGGGGGGGUAAAGGCCCACCAAGGCGACGAUCCGUAGCUGGUCUGAGAGGAUGAUCAGCCACACUGGAACGGAGACACGGUCCAGACUCCUACGGGAGGCAGCAGUGGGGAAUAUUAGACAAUGGGCGCAAGCCUGAUCCAGCCAUACCGCGUGGGUGAAGAAGGCCUUCGGGUUGUAAAGCCCUUUUGUUGGGAAAGAAAAGCAGCAGGUUAAUACCCCGCUGUUCUGACGGUACCCAAAGAAUAAGCACCGGCUAACUUCGUG